RNAcentral lists this ribosomal RNA (403 nucleotides) under uncultured bacterium. Its description in RNAcentral is "partial 16S ribosomal RNA". It matches the Rfam family "Bacterial small subunit ribosomal RNA", at positions 28 to 526 of the family's 1533-position model. The record is from RNAcentral.
GACGAACGCUGGCGGCGUGCCUAAUACAUGCAAGUCGAACGCAGUGGGGACGGGUGAUUAACACGUGGGUAACCUCCCAUCAGAGGGGAUAAAACUUGGAAACUGGUGCUAAUCCGCUACGUAUGUAUGGACUCGCGGUGCAUUAGCUAGUUGGUGGGGUAAAGGCUCACCAAGGCCACGAUGCAUAUCCGACCGGAGAGGGUGAUCGGCCACACUGGGACUUAGACACGGCCCAGACUCAGACGGGAGGCAGCAGUAGGGAAUCUUCGGCAAGGUACGAAAGUCUGACCGAGCAAUGCCGCGUGAGUGAAGAAGGUCUUCGGAUUGUAAACCUCUGUCGUUAGAGAAGCGGUAUCUAAACAGAAAGCAACGGAUAACUACGUGCCAGCAGCCGCGGUAAUAC